Molecule: ribosomal RNA, 522 nt
Filed under: uncultured archaeon
Lineage: Archaea
Description: bacterial SSU rRNA
Rfam family: Archaeal small subunit ribosomal RNA
Source: RNAcentral
GCUUAGCAUGCGAGUCGAGAGGGUUCGGCCCUCGGCAGACUGCUCAGUAACACGUGGAGAACUUGCCCUACGCUGGAGAAUAAUCUCGGGAAACUGAGGACAAUGCUCCAUAGCUCCGCCGUCCUGGAACGGUGGUGGAGUCAAAGCUCCGGCGGCGUAGGAUAGCUCUGCGGCCUAUCAGGUCGUAGCGAGGGUAACGUCCUCGCUAGCCUUCGACGGGUAUGGGUGUUGGGAGACAUCGCCCAGAGAUGGAUUCUGAGACACGAAUCCAGGUCCUACGGGACGCAGCAGGCGCGAAAACUGCACAAUGUGGGAAACCACGAUGCGGGAAACCCAAGUGCCAGCACUAUGUGUUGGCUGUCCUCGACUGUUCGUAAGUCGGGAAGAAAGUGCUGGGUAAGACGGGUGCCAGCCGCCGCGGUAAUACCCGCAGCACAAGUGGUGGUCAUUAUUAUUGGGCCUAAAGCGUCCGUAGCUGGCCUGUCAGAUGCCUGGGUAAAUCGAUGCGCUCAACGUAUCGAA